This 957-nucleotide long non-coding RNA is filed under the name Linum usitatissimum (flax). Its description in RNAcentral is "long non-coding RNA (LUSI_LNC007597)". Lineage: Eukaryota; Viridiplantae; Streptophyta; Magnoliopsida; Malpighiales; Linaceae. The record is from RNAcentral.
GCAAGUCCUUCCACGUUCAUUAUUGUUGUGGACUGUGGAAUGAUUGUUGUGCUGAGGCCUGAGGUGGGUACCGGUUGCUUUGUUGUUUAAACUUUUCAAGUUUGAAGCAAUCAAUUCAGGAGAAUUCCUGCCUUUUGAGGUCCAAUGAUGGCUAGUUUUUUUGCUUGUUAUGGCACCUAACACUCACUCAUUCCUGAUCCCUUUUUCUCUUCAUUCCUUGUUGAACUCGGAACUUUUUUGCUUGUUAUAUAUAGUGAUGAUCUUUUCCCAUCUGCUUUGGUUUGCCUUAUAUCAGUUCAUACUAGCCUGAUCUAGCAGCACUAAGGUGUGAUGUUAUCAGCAGCACAUUGUCCAACUUGACUUGUACUAACUUCAUACUCCAAGAUUGAAGAGUUAGGCAUUGAUUCUAGGAAUGGUUGGAUAAGUUCAGUUCGUUCGUACAGUAGGCAAGGCAGCCUUGUUGGCGGGAUGAGUGCCAGCCAAGGAAAGGAUAGCAUUGUACAAGACACUUCCCAAGGAAUGAUUUUAGCUGUAUGUCUUGUCUCUUAAUUGAACUUCAACCCCCAAUUUCAUCAUUCUUUAGCCUUAGCACCCAAUAAUUUCCAGUUAAAGCUUGAUUUCUCUAUCUCUCCCUGAUGAUUUGAACCAAAAAACUGUUUACUAAAGAUUUUAUCUGCAAAAAAUUGUUUUAUAACAGAGAUUCCAACUUCCGAAUCUAAGAACUCACUGAAUGAAUCCUUGUUCUAUGUAAUAUAUAUACCAUUUUAUACACAGGUAUACAACCAAUAGAGAAGCAUGGAAAACUUGUGGAAAUAUCAAAUAUCUACGACUAACAUUUGAUCUUCUCUUCGGCGGCAAUGGAAUUUUUGCAGUGAGCAAUUGCAGCUUGAAUAGCAGCCUGCAACUCCUCCAUGGUGCUGUCGCUAGAAGGAGAAGGAAUAGUGCAAAGAAGGCCAC